AUGCUUCUCCUAAAGACUAAGCCAUGCAUGCUCUGAAUAUGAGGAAGCAAUUCUCUCUGAAUCUGCGAACGGCUCCGCAAACCAGUUGUAAACCAAAGCAAGCUUGCUCGGGUUGGGCUUCGGCCUGGCCUGGGUGAUACGGAUAACCCUGGUAAUUCUGAGGCUAAUACGUGUAUGGAGCACCCGGUGGACCGGCCUCACGGCUGGGAUAUCGGGAGACGAGUGAUGGGAAUGUUUGGAUUACCAGGAACGGGCG
This 256-nucleotide ribosomal RNA is filed under the name uncultured Lamproderma sp. Its description in RNAcentral is "partial 18S ribosomal RNA". It matches the Rfam family "Eukaryotic small subunit ribosomal RNA", at positions 28 to 248 of the family's 1831-position model. Lineage: Eukaryota; Evosea; Eumycetozoa; Stemonitida. The record is from RNAcentral.